UUAUUUUGGCAGAGUUCAUACGAGUUUUCAUAUGAUUUCCGGAACCGGUUUUGAGGGGAGCCCCGCCCCCGGGGGUUCCAAGACGAUCAACUAUAGAACCACUGCACUGUGUCAGACAGAAAGAAAGAGGAAAAUAGUAAGGAGGAUUUUGUACUCACCUGGGUCUCGGCUGAUCUGGUCAAGCCUUGUACUAUCUCUUGGCCCGGAUGGAUUAUAGCCAGGUCUGUCCUGAAAUUUACGAACCAAUUCAUGCAUCACUGUUGCCUUACCGGGGUGGACUCGAAGACGCAUGGGAUUGUCAUCAUAAGCGAAUAGUUCCCAGUUCUCCUUAAACUUAUUGUGAUUGUUAGAAUCGUCGCUCUGAUAGCUCUAUCCAGAGAAAGGAAGGAAAGAGAUAGAGGUUACUAGUAUGAUACAGACAGACGUGACAUAAAGGAUAGAAAGAAUGUUGAAAGUAAUGUAAAUGAGGAAAAGACGAAUGGAGGAAACUAUAUUGAAAGCAAGACAUAAGAGUUAGUUUACAAAUGGCGCAAAAGUAGCCAAGAAAGGGUGGACAGCUGUGAAACAAAGAGAAAUCCGUGCUAUACAUUAUGAUGACAGUAAGUCCAGUAAACGUCCCGUAAAUGGACUCAAAAAAGACAGGAUAGACCACACAGAAUCAGGAAACAGAGGGAAUCAGAGCGAACUCCAUUCGCUGAUGACAGCAUGACCACAAUAAUGAAAGAAGCAUACAAAAUCGAUAUUCAUUUCCUUCAUGUUUUAUUUAUGAUACAUGUAGAUAUUCUACUGUAAUAAAUUAUAUGAUUAAUCUUA
This is a long non-coding RNA of Ostrea edulis (European flat oyster), 813 nucleotides long. RefSeq lists it as uncharacterized. The record is from RefSeq and is a predicted model, not a curated record. The transcript has 2 exons. Lineage: Eukaryota; Metazoa; Mollusca; Bivalvia; Ostreida; Ostreidae.